UACGGAGGGUGCAAGCGUUGUUCGGAAUUAUUGGGCGUAAAGCGCGUGUAGGCGGCCAGGUAAGUCAGAUGUGAAAGCCUUUCGCUUAACGAAAGAAGUGCAUUUGAUACUGCCUGGCUAGAGUUCGGAAGAGGAGAGUGGAAUUCCUGGUGUAGAGGUGAAAUUCGUAGAUAUCAGGAGGAACACCGGUGGCGAAGGCGGCUCUCUGGUCCGAUACUGACGCUGAGACGCGAAAGCGUGGGGAG
RNAcentral lists this ribosomal RNA (245 nucleotides) under uncultured bacterium. RNAcentral's name for it is "partial 16S ribosomal RNA". It matches the Rfam family "Bacterial small subunit ribosomal RNA", at positions 524 to 768 of the family's 1533-position model. The record is from RNAcentral.